GUAAAGGGAAGCAGCCACAGAGUUCAGAAGAUUCCUCAGAAAAAUGAAAGUAUCCCCCUUGUUGAAGUUGUGCUAAAUCCAAUCAUCUUGAGAGUAAGUGUUAGAAGCAUGUACAAUGCAAGAUUAACAAAAUGCAUGGUCACUCAAAGAAGUUAUGUUAAAAAAGGAAAAAUCAAUCAUCACAGCAAAAGAAUGAGCCUCAACAACAACAACAACCACGUCAGCAACAGGAAGUCUAUUUUGCUGAGAACCAUGAACAGCAGGAAGUUAUCUUUUCAUGAUGAUUGAGGCAUCUUGUG
This 299-nucleotide long non-coding RNA is filed under the name Carica papaya (papaya). Its description in RNAcentral is "long non-coding RNA (CPAP_LNC002370)". Lineage: Eukaryota; Viridiplantae; Streptophyta; Magnoliopsida; Brassicales; Caricaceae. The record is from RNAcentral.